GCGCCGGUAGCUCAACUGGAUAGAGUACUAGGCUUCGAACCUAGGGGUUGUGAGUUCGAGUCUUACCCGGCGCGCCA
RNAcentral lists this transfer RNA (77 nucleotides) under Bacillota bacterium. RNAcentral describes it as "tRNA-Arg". It matches the Rfam family "tRNA". From Rfam's summary of the family: Transfer RNA (tRNA) molecules are approximately 80 nucleotides in length. Their secondary structure includes four short double-helical elements and three loops (D, anti-codon, and T loops). Lineage: Bacteria; Bacillati; Bacillota. The record is from RNAcentral. RNAcentral also lists the same sequence under 2 other names.